Molecule: long non-coding RNA, 672 nt
Filed under: Vigna radiata
Lineage: Eukaryota; Viridiplantae; Streptophyta; Magnoliopsida; Fabales; Fabaceae
Description: long non-coding RNA (VRAD_LNC013356)
Source: RNAcentral
GGAGAAGGCCUAGAUCACCCACAUGAAGUGUGACCGGAUGGUUGAGGAAUACAAAAAGUUCAAAGGGAAGAUGGAUGAGCUAGCCAAGGAGCACCAAAGGCUGCUCACAAAAAAGGCUUAAUUGAGCAUAGCGAAUAAGAGCCUCACUACCAAGCUAGUGGAGGCGAACGGGCAACUGAAAGACCUUAAUGAUUUCAUCGUGACUAAGAACGAAAAAGGCUUCAACAAGGCCCUUUUUCAUGUGGUUCUUCUCUUGGUAGUCGAUCUGGUGGCCAAAGGUUUUGACGUUAUGAAUGACAUCCAUGAGGGGGAACCUGGUUCCAUUGGAAGAGAUGUCGGGUAAUCUUGGGUUGGACGAGCUAAAAGGCGACAAUGGGGCAGACGGGCAGGAAGAGGUGUCGACGGAGGUUGAGGAUGACCACGAGGUCAAUGAUCAAUAUCUUUCUCUUUUCCUUUGUUUUUUGGGUGGAAUUUUUUUGCUAACUUUAGUUCAAUUUUUAGCUUGUUUCAUUUUUUAGAUAUAGUUGGGUGGAAAACACUGAACAUUAUGAAGUUUUUGCUUCAUCGGCACCUCAACACAAUUUUAUAUACCCCAAUUUAAACAUGAAAAUAAUCGAUUUGCUUUCAAUCUUCUCAAUUUGCCUUCGCUAUUUUUUACAAGUUACAAUUAUC